GGCAACCUAAGUUCUAGAAUCUCCACAGGCAGGACACCCUUGUUGCACUUCUGAUGUGGAGUCUCAGCUGAUCCUGCUGCCCGUCACCCAUGCCUUCAUUCUGCCAUCAUGGACUCUGAACCUCUGGAACCAUAAGCGCAGAUGCUGUAUUUAGUCUCUGGUGUUCUCUGUAGUUUACAAUCUGACCUUCUGCUGCUUCCCUUUCAUGGAAAGGACUUCAUGGUUACACACAACAGUUUCCAAGUGAGACCUCUGUGGCCAGGAGAGACUUGUGUCUGCUACUUCUCAGAACCAGCCCUGAGCAUCCUCACCAUGCAGUCUAACAGCUAAGAAAGCCAGUUGCCAUGAAAAACAUCCCUGUAAAGCAUGGUUGUGGUACUUUAUAGUACCUUCCCUUUCCCACACAGUGCCCCUGAUCCAUAAACAAGCAAAUAGAAUCCCAUGGCCAUUUUCUAGAUGAGGAAGCUGGGACCACAGAGCUGUGCUGUGAGACAUGGGGAGUUGUUGCCUUCCCUCAGGAGAUGCAACUGCAUGUGUGACACAGAGAGGUAUUACAGGGAUCUACAAGAAGAUAACUAGCCGCGUACUGGGUUUGCGAGGAACCUGUCAUCCAUCUUUAAAGAGACAUCUACCAGUUUGGUCUUAACCAUGGAAAAGUAAAUACCAUGUAUUAGUAUUGGGUGUAGUAAAUAGCACCAAGUCUUAUCCAUUUGAAAGCAUGGGAUUAGUGCUCCAACGUAACUCAAGGGUCAUGACAUUCUAAGGGGACCCCAGUGCUUGAAGAGGGUGUGAAUGGGCCCAGGUCAUCUAGAUGAGCAGUCAGUGAUCUGAGAGAAUCCACACAAGGAUGAACGUCCCAUUUGUGGGGGAGGGUCCAGUGUAAAAUCCCCUGCCAUCAGGCCAGGCAUCUGUCCCUGUCCAUGUUAGAAGAGUCAGAGUCAUUCCUCUGUAGAUACAGUGACUCAUCAGCUUGCCAAUGGUCCACUCACCUGCUGGACAUGAGCACCUUCAAAUUCAGUUAAUUUUUCCUUCCUAUGUCCCUGGAGCCUAUUCAGUUCCUGACUCAAUGGUGGUUUGUUGGCCUGGAAUAAAAAUGUUGCUUUCCUUGCCCAUC
Molecule: long non-coding RNA, 1114 nt
Organism: Rattus norvegicus (Norway rat)
Lineage: Eukaryota; Metazoa; Chordata; Mammalia; Rodentia; Muridae
Source: RefSeq, a predicted model, not a curated record